GCCAGGCAUGGUGGUGCAUGCCUGUAAUCCCAGCUACUCGGGAGGCUGAGGCGGAAGAAUUGCUUGAACCCGGGAGGCAGAGGUUGAGGUGAGCCAAGAUCGUGCCACUGCAUUCCAGCCUGGGUGACAGAGCAAAACUCCGUCUCAA
This 148-nucleotide non-coding RNA is filed under the name Pan paniscus (pygmy chimpanzee). RNAcentral also lists the same sequence under 1 other name. The record is from Rfam by way of RNAcentral. Lineage: Eukaryota; Metazoa; Chordata; Mammalia; Primates; Hominidae.